GUGGGGGCCCAAGCAGGAGGCUUUCCAGAGAAGGAAGGCAUGGAGAAGAGGGACCUGGUCCCUGCAGUGUGGGUGGGGCAGGAGGCUGUGCCCUGCAGGGGUGUGGGAGAGCAGCUUGGACCUGGGCAGGCAGCGUCCGAGCGUCUGCACGGGCUGGCUGUGCAUCUGUGGACGUGCCUUUGAGUGUCCCGUAGCCUGUAUUAUUUAAGGUCACUGCGCGUUUACGAUGACUGCCAGAAAGCAGCAGGUGCCUGUGAGUGCAGCUGGGACCCUGCCCUGUGGCCUUUGGAUCCUGAAGAAUGUGCUGGAUCAUGAACCAGGCCGAGAACACCCUGUACCACUCACUCUGGUGGAGCAGCUGCCUAUUGUCCUGAACCUCCUGUAAGAUGACCUCGUAGCAGGCCCAGGCACUGCAGGAAGUUGCUGGGUGCGUGGAGGUGGAUGCUGUUCUCAGAUGUCACACACACAGAGCCAGCAUCUCACGCCAGUGACAGAGCCGCUGAGGUGUGAUGAAGGCCGGAUUUGCAACUUAAUGGGCCCUGACCUAGGAACCCAGUUUGGCUGCUAGAGGUUUCUGGUCCUCAAAUAACAAUAACCACCUCCUGGGGCUAUCAUGAGAAUUUUAUGAGAUAAUGCAUCAAAAACUCUUAGCAGAGACCUUGACUCAUGGCGAGUUCUCAGUAAGUUGUGAGACUAUGCACCAACUUCCUUUACGGGAUGAAUACGGAACACUGGUUGAUUUGCUCACGUUUCCAACCUGGGACACUCGAUGCCACUGACUUAUAUAUCUGCAUAGCCCGCCAGCCUGCGAGUCCUUCCAGCUCUGCUUGCUAAAUUGUCACAUCUGCCCUAGAAGAUGUCAGUCACCCAGUGGAAAUGUCUCCAGGGAAGUGGAUAUUCCUGCUAGAAGUGGACUGGGUGGGAGUUGGGAGUCUCAGUGUAUUCUCUGGCUGCUCUCGUCACUUGCCCGCUGCAUGAUUUCUCUUUGCUUAAUGUUUAAUUUCUCUCAGGGGCCUGGAUGAGCUGGGUUAAAUAACUCUGGUGAGGGAGCCUGGAGGAUCACUGGGGAAAGUCAUCGUCUUUGUCCUCAGCAGUGUAUUUAAUCCUCUGAACUUUAGGUUUCCCUCUCUUCCCUCCCUCCCUCCCUCCCUCCCUCCCUCCCUCCCUUCCUUCCUUCCUUCCUUCUUUCUUUCCUUCCUUCCUUCCUUCUUUCCUUGACAAGGUCUCAUUCUGUCACCCAGGCUGGAGUGCAGUGGCAUGAUCUCAGCUCACUGCAGCCUUGACCUCCUGGGCUUAAGCGAUCCUCCCACCUCAGCCUCCUGAGUAGCUGGGACUACCUGUGCACACCACCAUGCCUGGCUAAUUUUUGUAUUUGUUGUAGAGUCAGGGUCUCACUAUGUUGGCCAGGUUGGUCUUGAAUUCUUGGGCUCAAGUGAUCCUCCCACCUCGGCCUCCCAAAGUGCUGGGACUACAGGCAUGAGCCACCACACCCAGCCAACUUUAAGUUCUUUAUGCUGUCAUGCAGGCCUGCAUGGCCCAAUGGAUCAGCUCCAGACUUUGUGGCCAUAAAAAGCCGCGUGAGCAAGUGCAUCACAAGCACAUGCCAAGGAGAGGCAGAAGGAAGCAUUUUGGUGCUUGUCUGGAGAAGGCUGAAUGGAACUGGGGAGGAGGUUUUUGGAUCUGUGUGAGCCCAUCCCAGUGAAGAAGCAAAGAGCCACUCUUUCUAGUGCUGGGCGUGUAGAGCUUGGGGCUUUGCAAUCCGAAUGGGUUUGAGAAGUGGGCAGGCCUACAGCUGUUGGCCGAGUGCUCAGAGGCUGCAGACAUGCUUGUUCUUGUAUGUGAGAUGUGGCAAUGACAAGAAGAGAGAGGUUAGGAGGCUGAUGCGGCUCCUCCAAGCCUAGGGAUGGACUCUUGGGGUUCUGCCUCCUGGAGGGGCAGGAGUGACCCAGACCCUUCUGCAACAGCUCCAGCUCCUGGAGGAUGGGGCGCCAGCUGCCCUGAGUGGUGCUGGCCACUGUGCCACCUGGCUGUCGCCCUCUAAGAAGGUCCUGCUGUCAUGCCUUCCUCCUGACUGCUGACAAAUAUUCUCGGGGGAAGAAGCUGGUACGGAGCCUACUGGUUGUGCUCUGAGAAACCUCUUCCAUGGCUAAAACCAAAUUUCAGGAUAGAUAAGAGCAGCUCCUCAGAAGAGAAAGUUGGGAAUCUCUGACCUGGAUCAGGAGCAAACACAUCCAAGCCCCUAAUGGUGCAUAAGCGCGGUGUUAAACGGCUCUGUUCCCGGCCAGCCCGGACCAAACCUACAGCCCAAAGGGGGAAGAAAACCCAUCAACGAAAUCACUUUUAAGAUCCAUGGUUGUCCCCCAUUCGAUAACCAUGAAUCGACUGUCCAGGCUGCAUUUAUCCAGCUGCAAGAAUUCUAAAGAGAAUGAGUUGCCCACUGAUGCCCCUGGGCUGGGCCCAAGGUGUGGGGCCAGGUGUGAGGAGCUGUACCGGCCCCAGGAGGCGCCCAUGUGGAGAAUCUCUGUCCUUUGCACCUGGACCUGUGGGCUUUGAGAGCUCGGGCCCCAAUUAUGGCCAGAGCUAGGGUUGGUCUUCCUCUGCCCUGCAAAUCCCAGAUGUAGUAAGCAUUCAGUACAUUGUGUUAAUAAAUAUCCAUAAACUUG
This 2663-nucleotide long non-coding RNA is filed under the name Homo sapiens (human). Its description in RNAcentral is "HSALNT0158217". The record is from RNAcentral. Lineage: Eukaryota; Metazoa; Chordata; Mammalia; Primates; Hominidae.